GGUCCGCUGGUGUAACUGGUACACACGCCUGGUCUAGAAUCAGGAAACCGCCGGUUCGAAUCCGGCGCGGACCA
RNAcentral lists this transfer RNA (74 nucleotides) under Neurospora pannonica FGSC 7221. Its description in RNAcentral is "tRNA-Leu (TAG) (tRNA-Leu-TAG-2-1)". It matches the Rfam family "tRNA". From Rfam's summary of the family: Transfer RNA (tRNA) molecules are approximately 80 nucleotides in length. The record is from RNAcentral. Lineage: Eukaryota; Fungi; Ascomycota; Sordariomycetes; Sordariales; Sordariaceae.